RNAcentral lists this ribosomal RNA (481 nucleotides) under uncultured bacterium. RNAcentral describes it as "partial 16S ribosomal RNA". It matches the Rfam family "Bacterial small subunit ribosomal RNA", at positions 28 to 507 of the family's 1533-position model. The record is from RNAcentral.
GACGAACGUUGGCGGCGUGCUUAAUACAUGCAAGUCAACUGAAGCAGUGGUAGCAAUAUCGCUGUGGAGGUGGCGCACGGGUGAGUAACACGUAGGUAAUCUGCCUUCAGGUCUGGCAUAACUCCGGGAAACCGGGGCUAAUAGCAGAUGAUGCAGCGGCUCGACAUCGAGACAGUUGUUAAAGCUAUGGCGCCUGAAGAUGAGCCUGCGUCUGAUUAGCUAGUUGGCGGGGUAACGGCCCACCAAGGCAACGAUCAGUAGCUGGUCUGAGAGGAUGAUCAGCAACACUGGAACUGAGACACGGUCCAGACUCCUACGGGAGGCAGCAGUAAGGAAUAUUGCUCAAUGGGAGAAAUCCUGAAGCAGCAACGCCGCGUGAGGGACGAAGGGCGUUUGCUUGUAAACCUCUGUAGUGAGAGAAAAAAAUCCCAAUCUUUGGGACAUGAUGGUAUCUCAAAAGUAAGCCCCGGCUAACUACGUG